Molecule: ribosomal RNA, 253 nt
Filed under: uncultured bacterium
Lineage: Bacteria
Description: partial 16S ribosomal RNA
Rfam family: Bacterial small subunit ribosomal RNA
Source: RNAcentral
UACGAAGGGGGCUAGCGUUGUUCGGAUUUACUGGGCGUAAAGCGCACGUAGGCGGAUUGUUAAGUCAGGGGUGAAAUCCCGGAGCUCAACUCCGGAACUGCCUUUGAUACUGGCAAUCUUGAGGCUGGAAGAGGUUAGUGGAAUUCCCGGUGUAGUGGUGAAAUGCGUAGAUAUCGGGAGGAACACCAGUGGCGAAGGCGACUACCUGGCCUGUUCUUGACGCUGAGGCGCGAAAGCUAGGGGAGCAAACGGG